GAAACCGGUCAUCCUGUCGCAUCGAAGCAUUUCGGUGAGGAAAGUCGGGACACGAUAGAGCACCAUACUUCCUAACGGGAAGGUUCCGGGCAACCGGAAACAGCGAGUGCCACAGAAAAUUACCGCCCCUCUUAAGGGGUAAGGGUGAAAACGUGAGGUAAGAGCUCACGCGGAGGGGUGGUGACACGCCUCCGGGGUAAACCUUAUGGCGUGAAAGGCCAUGUAUACCGGGAAUCCGCUACGUGCGGAUAAGGGCUGCUCGUCUGAGCCCGGGGGGUAGGCCGUUAGAGGCUGCGGGUGACCGUAGUUCGAGAUAAAUGACAGGACACGACAGAAUCCCGCUUAUCGGCCGGUUUCCUUU
This 361-nucleotide RNase P RNA is filed under the name Bacteroidota bacterium. RNAcentral's name for it is "Bacteroidetes bacterium RNase P RNA component class A". It matches the Rfam family "Bacterial RNase P class A". From Rfam's summary of the family: Ribonuclease P (RNase P) is a ubiquitous endoribonuclease, found in archaea, bacteria and eukarya as well as chloroplasts and mitochondria. Its best characterised activity is the generation of mature 5'-ends of tRNAs by cleaving the 5'-leader elements of precursor-tRNAs. The record is from RNAcentral. Lineage: Bacteria; Pseudomonadati; Bacteroidota.